Molecule: long non-coding RNA, 256 nt
Organism: Ornithodoros turicata
Lineage: Eukaryota; Metazoa; Arthropoda; Arachnida; Ixodida; Argasidae
Exons: 3
Source: RefSeq, a predicted model, not a curated record
AGCUCAAUACCAACGGAGGAGCUAAGUGGAGUGCCGCGCGAACGAAGAGAAAGACGGCGACGUUCGAUCCACGCAAAGGGAGCGGGCAACCAAAUUACGGAAGAAACACCCCACCCCACCGACGCCCACCGAAGUAGGAAGCUGUCACACCAAUAUGGCAAGUGGUUCCAGCACGCCGUCAACGCCAACGCCGUCAACGCCAACGCCAAACACGACCGAAAUAUCGCAACGCAGCGACGUAUCUGCGAAGGGAGGU